This 270-nucleotide ribosomal RNA is filed under the name uncultured prokaryote. RNAcentral's name for it is "partial 16S ribosomal RNA". It matches the Rfam family "Bacterial small subunit ribosomal RNA", at positions 524 to 792 of the family's 1533-position model. The record is from RNAcentral.
UACGAGGGGGGCAAGUGUUGUUCGGAAUCACUGGGCGUAAAGAGAGCGUAGGCGGAAGCUUAAGUCGGAUGUUUAAUUUCAGGGCCCAACUCUGAACUUGCGUCCGAAACUGGGUUUCUUGAAUAUAGGAGAGGUGGAUGGAAUUCCCGGUGUAGCGGUGGAAUGCGUAGAGAUCGGGAGGAACACCAGUUGCGAAGGCGAUCCACUGGCCUGAUAUUGACGCUGAGGCUCGAAAGCGUGGGGAGCGAACAGGAUUAGAUACCCCGUGUA